This 224-nucleotide ribosomal RNA is filed under the name uncultured bacterium. RNAcentral describes it as "partial 16S ribosomal RNA". It matches the Rfam family "Bacterial small subunit ribosomal RNA", at positions 30 to 252 of the family's 1533-position model. The record is from RNAcentral.
AUUGAACGCUGGCGGCAUGCCUUACACAUGCAAGUCGAACGGCAGCACGGGGGCAACCCUGGUGGCGAGCGGCGAACGGGUGAGUAAUACAUCGGAACGUACCCAGUAGUGGGGAUAGCCCGGCGAAAGACCGGAUUAAUACCGCAUACGACCGUACGGGGUGAAAGCGGGGGAUCGCAAGACCUCGUGCUACCGGAGCGGCCGAUGUCAGAUUAGGUUGUUGG